This 692-nucleotide ribosomal RNA is filed under the name uncultured bacterium. Its description in RNAcentral is "bacterial SSU rRNA". It matches the Rfam family "Bacterial small subunit ribosomal RNA", at positions 32 to 715 of the family's 1533-position model. The record is from RNAcentral.
AACGCUAGCUACAGGCUUAACACAUGCAAGUCGAGGGGCAGCAUAAAAGUAGCAAUACUUUGGUGGCGACCGGCGCACGGGUGAGUAACGCGUAUGCAACCUACCUAUCAGAGGGGGAUAACCCGGCGAAAGUCGGACUAAUACCGCAUAAAACAGGGGCACCGCAUGGUGAUAUUUGUUAAAAAUUUAUUGCUGAUAGAUGGGCAUGCGUUCCAUUAGGUAGUUGGAGAGGUAACGGCUCACCAAGCCCACGAUGGAUAGGGGAACUGAGAGGUUGGUCCCCCACACUGGUACUGAGACACGGACCAGACUCCUACGGGAGGCAGCAGUGAGGAAUAUUGGUCAAUGGGCGAGAGCCUGAACCAGCCAAGUCGCGUGAAGGAAGAAGGAUCUAUGGUUCGUAAACUUCUUUUGCAGGGGAAUAAAGUGCAGGACGUGUCCUGUUCUGUAUGUACCCUGAGAAUAAGGAUCGGCUAACUCCGUGCCAGCAGCCGCGGUAAUACGGAGGAUCCGAGCGUUAUCCGGAUUUAUUGGGUUUAAAGGGUGCGUAGGUGGUUUAAUAAGUCAGCGGUGAAAGUUUGCAGCUUAACUGUAAAAAUGCCGUUGAAACUGUCGGACUUGAGUGUAAAUGAGGUAGGCGGAAUGCGUGGUGUAGCGGUGAAAUGCUUAGAUAUCACGAAGAACUCCGAUUG